Molecule: ribosomal RNA, 239 nt
Filed under: uncultured Glomeromycotina
Lineage: Eukaryota; Fungi; Glomeromycota
Description: partial 18S ribosomal RNA
Rfam family: Eukaryotic small subunit ribosomal RNA
Source: RNAcentral
GGUGAUGUAGGUUGGUCAUGCCUCUGGUAUGUACUGGUCUCACUGAUUCCUCCUUCCUGAUGAACCGUAAUGCCAUUAAUUUGGUGUUGCGGGGAAUUUGGACUGUUACUUUGAAAAAAUUAGAGUGUUUAAAGCAAGCUAACGCUUGAAUACAUUAGCAUGGAAUAAUGAAAUAGGACGUUCGAUCCUAUUUUGUUGGUUUCUAGGAUUGACGUAAUGAUUAAUAGGGAUAGUUGGGC